GCAGUCGGGGCUAAGUGGUUAAGGCGAUAAACUAGAAAUCCAUUGGGGUCCCCCCGCACAGGUUCGAAUGCUGUCGACUGCG
Molecule: non-coding RNA, 82 nt
Organism: Ixodes scapularis (black-legged tick)
Lineage: Eukaryota; Metazoa; Arthropoda; Arachnida; Ixodida; Ixodidae
Source: Rfam